Molecule: ribosomal RNA, 742 nt
Filed under: uncultured bacterium
Lineage: Bacteria
Description: bacterial SSU rRNA
Rfam family: Bacterial small subunit ribosomal RNA
Source: RNAcentral
CGGGAAGGGUUUCGGCCCUAGUACCGCGGCAGACGAGUGAGUAACACGUGAGUAACCUGUCCCCGGGUCUGGGAUAACUACCCGAAAGGGUAGCUAAUACCGGAUAAAGUCACCGGACGCAAGUUCGGUGAUGAAAGGGGGCCUCUGCAUAGCAAGCUCCUGCCUGGGGAGGGGCUCGCGGCCCAUCAGCUAGUUGGUGGGGUAAUGGCCCACCAAGGCGACGACGGGUAGCCGGCCUGAGAGGGUGGUCGGCCACGCGGGCACUGAGACACGGGCCCGACUCCUACGGGAGGCAGCAGGGGGGAAUCUUGGGCAAUGGGCGAAAGCCUGACCCAGCGACGCCGCGUGGGGGAAGAAGGCCUUCGGGUCGUAAACCCCUGUUCUGGAGGAAGAACCCAGGGUAGGUGAAUAACCUAUCCUGGCUGACGGUACUCCAGGAGAAAGCCACGGCUAACUGCGUGCCAGCAGCCGCGGUAAUACGCAGGUGGCGAGCGUUGCCCGGAAUUACUGGGCGUAAAGGGUGCGUAGGCGGCCGGACAAGUCAUAGGUUAAAGCCCGGAGCUCAACUCCGGAAAGGCCUAUGAUACUGUCUGGCUUGAGGGCCGGAGAGGCUGGCGGAAUUCCCGGUGUAGGGGUGAAAUCCGUAGAUAUCGGGAGGAACACCGGUGGGGAAGCCGGCCAGCUGGACGGUUCCUGACGCUGAGGCACGAAAGCGUGGGGAGCAAACCGGAUUAGAUACCCG